UUUUUAUGAGAGUUUGAUCCUGGCUCAGGACGAACGCUGGCGGCGUGCCUAAUACAUGCAAGUCGAACGCUUUUUUUUCCACCGGAGCUUGCU
This 93-nucleotide ribosomal RNA is filed under the name Enterococcus faecium. RNAcentral's name for it is "partial 16S ribosomal RNA". It matches the Rfam family "Bacterial small subunit ribosomal RNA", at positions 1 to 91 of the family's 1533-position model. The record is from RNAcentral. Lineage: Bacteria; Bacillati; Bacillota; Bacilli; Lactobacillales; Enterococcaceae.